AAGAUUCGGCCCUCGGGCCAAACCUCUCCAGCUGUGCGCUUCGGCUGCACGCUGGUUGAACCUCACACACCUGUGAACAUUCCGGUUGUGAGCUGUCUUCUGGCAUCUCACUUCCGCCUUUACAUAAAACCACCAAGUCUAGAAUGUAAAAACUAUAAAGUAA
This 163-nucleotide unclassified non-coding RNA is filed under the name uncultured Auriculariales. Its description in RNAcentral is "sequence contains ITS1". Lineage: Eukaryota; Fungi; Basidiomycota; Agaricomycetes; Auriculariales. The record is from RNAcentral.